AGAACACUUGAUCACCUUUUUUAAAUUCUAAAUCCCUCAUCCGGGUGUCCGCAUAACUCUUCUACUCGUUAUAAGCUGUCUAAAUGUUCUUUCUGAUCUUAACUAUAUUGGUUGUAGUCUCCUCCACAAGAUAUGAGCCAAAUAAUUUUCUAUCACCCACUUCUUCCCAACAUAUCGACGACCUGUUGGGGCAGCCAUACAAUGCCUCGUAUGGGGCCAU
RNAcentral lists this long non-coding RNA (220 nucleotides) under Carica papaya (papaya). RNAcentral describes it as "long non-coding RNA (CPAP_LNC012055)". The record is from RNAcentral. Lineage: Eukaryota; Viridiplantae; Streptophyta; Magnoliopsida; Brassicales; Caricaceae.